This is a long non-coding RNA of Neodiprion virginianus, 396 nucleotides long. RefSeq lists it as uncharacterized. The record is from RefSeq and is a predicted model, not a curated record. The transcript has 3 exons. Lineage: Eukaryota; Metazoa; Arthropoda; Insecta; Hymenoptera; Diprionidae.
AUUACAGAAUUAAACUACAGCAAUAUUGAUCGAGGUUAGUGAUCAUCUCAAUUGAUCUCUGGCAAUAAAUGUUGGAAAACAAAAUGCAGAAGCUGAACAGGUCACAAUGUUGUGGUAGAAUAAAAAACCGGGACAGCCUACAUUGUAUCACUAUUGAUCGCAUUUAGCGAUGCUCCAAAUGAAGUAACCCGAUUAAUUGAUCUCUGAGAAGAAAAUGAAAACUAGACCAACCAUUAUAGCGAAUGAAACUAGAAGCUACUCAAUUUUAUUCACUGAAUUGCUUUGAACAGAACUUUGUAGUCAAGAAUCUAUUCGAAUAAUCAUCUGUAUAUGAUUUGUUAAUCGAUGAAUGAAAAAUUUCUUCCGAUACUUAUUCCGUUGGACGUAAUAUGCCGG